RNAcentral lists this ribosomal RNA (2890 nucleotides) under Pseudomonas trivialis. RNAcentral describes it as "bacterial LSU rRNA". It matches the Rfam family "Bacterial large subunit ribosomal RNA". Lineage: Bacteria; Pseudomonadati; Pseudomonadota; Gammaproteobacteria; Pseudomonadales; Pseudomonadaceae. The record is from RNAcentral.
UCAAGUGAAGAAGCGCAUACGGUGGAUGCCUUGGCAGUCAGAGGCGAUGAAAGACGUGGUAGCCUGCGAAAAGCUUCGGGGAGUCGGCAAACAGACUUUGAUCCGGAGAUGUCUGAAUGGGGGAACCCAGCCAUCAUAAGAUGGUUAUCUUACGCUGAAUACAUAGGCGUAAGAGGCGAACCAGGGGAACUGAAACAUCUAAGUACCCUGAGGAAAAGAAAUCAACCGAGAUUCCCUUAGUAGUGGCGAGCGAACGGGGACUAGCCCUUAAGUGGCUUUGAGAUUAGCGGAACGCUCUGGAAAGUGCGGCCAUAGUGGGUGAUAGCCCUGUACGCGAAAAUCUCUUGGUCAUGAAAUCGAGUAGGACGGAGCACGAGAAACUUUGUCUGAAUAUGGGGGGACCAUCCUCCAAGGCUAAAUACUACUGACUGACCGAUAGUGAACUAGUACCGUGAGGGAAAGGCGAAAAGAACCCCGGAGAGGGGAGUGAAAUAGAUCCUGAAACCGUAUGCGUACAAGCAGUGGGAGCCCACUUUGUUGGGUGACUGCGUACCUUUUGUAUAAUGGGUCAGCGACUUAUUUUCAGUGGCGAGCUUAACCGAAUAGGGGAGGCGUAGCGAAAGCGAGUCUUAAUAGGGCGUCUAGUCGCUGGGAAUAGACCCGAAACCGGGCGAUCUAUCCAUGGGCAGGUUGAAGGUUGGGUAACACUAACUGGAGGACCGAACCGACUACCGUUGAAAAGUUAGCGGAUGACCUGUGGAUCGGAGUGAAAGGCUAAUCAAGCUCGGAGAUAGCUGGUUCUCCUCGAAAGCUAUUUAGGUAGCGCCUCAUGUAUCACUGUAGGGGGUAGAGCACUGUUUCGGCUAGGGGGUCAUCCCGACUUACCAAACCGAUGCAAACUCCGAAUACCUACAAGUGCCGAGCAUGGGAGACACACGGCGGGUGCUAACGUCCGUCGUGAAAAGGGAAACAACCCAGACCGUCAGCUAAGGUCCCAAAGUUAUGGUUAAGUGGGAAACGAUGUGGGAAGGCUUAGACAGCUAGGAGGUUGGCUUAGAAGCAGCCACCCUUUAAAGAAAGCGUAAUAGCUCACUAGUCGAGUCGGCCUGCGCGGAAGAUGUAACGGGGCUCAAACCAUACACCGAAGCUACGGGUAUCACGUAAGUGAUGCGGUAGAGGAGCGUUCUGUAAGCCUGUGAAGGUGAGUUGAGAAGCUUGCUGGAGGUAUCAGAAGUGCGAAUGCUGACAUGAGUAACGACAAUGGGUGUGAAAAACACCCACGCCGAAAGACCAAGGUUUCCUGCGCAACGUUAAUCGACGCAGGGUUAGUCGGUCCCUAAGGCGAGGCUGAAAAGCGUAGUCGAUGGAAAACAGGUUAAUAUUCCUGUACUUCUGGUUAUUGCGAUGGAGGGACGGAGAAGGCUAGGCCAGCUUGGCGUUGGUUGUCCAAGUUUAAGGUGGUAGGCUGAGAUCUUAGGUAAAUCCGGGAUCUUAAGGCCGAGAGCUGAUGACGAGUGUUCUUUUAGAACACGAAGUGGUUGAUGCCAUGCUUCCAAGAAAAGCUUCUAAGCUUCAGGUAACCAGGAACCGUACCCCAAACCGACACAGGUGGUUGGGUAGAGAAUACCAAGGCGCUUGAGAGAACUCGGGUGAAGGAACUAGGCAAAAUGGCACCGUAACUUCGGGAGAAGGUGCGCCGGUGAGGGUGAAGGACUUGCUCCGUAAGCUCAUGCCGGUCGAAGAUACCAGGCCGCUGCGACUGUUUAUUAAAAACACAGCACUCUGCAAACACGAAAGUGGACGUAUAGGGUGUGACGCCUGCCCGGUGCCGGAAGGUUAAUUGAUGGGGUUAGCUAACGCGAAGCUCUUGAUCGAAGCCCCGGUAAACGGCGGCCGUAACUAUAACGGUCCUAAGGUAGCGAAAUUCCUUGUCGGGUAAGUUCCGACCUGCACGAAUGGCGUAACGAUGGCGGCGCUGUCUCCACCCGAGACUCAGUGAAAUUGAAAUCGCUGUGAAGAUGCAGUGUAUCCGCGGCUAGACGGAAAGACCCCGUGAACCUUUACUAUAGCUUUGCACUGGACUUUGAAUUUGCUUGUGUAGGAUAGGUGGGAGGCUUUGAAGCGUGGACGCCAGUCUGCGUGGAGCCAACCUUGAAAUACCACCCUGGCAACUUUGAGGUUCUAACUCAGGUCCGUUAUCCGGAUCGAGGACAGUGUAUGGUGGGUAGUUUGACUGGGGCGGUCUCCUCCUAAAGAGUAACGGAGGAGUACGAAGGUGCGCUCAGACCGGUCGGAAAUCGGUCGUAGAGUAUAAAGGCAAAAGCGCGCUUGACUGCGAGACAGACACGUCGAGCAGGUACGAAAGUAGGUCUUAGUGAUCCGGUGGUUCUGUAUGGAAGGGCCAUCGCUCAACGGAUAAAAGGUACUCCGGGGAUAACAGGCUGAUACCGCCCAAGAGUUCAUAUCGACGGCGGUGUUUGGCACCUCGAUGUCGGCUCAUCACAUCCUGGGGCUGAAGCCGGUCCCAAGGGUAUGGCUGUUCGCCAUUUAAAGUGGUACGCGAGCUGGGUUUAGAACGUCGUGAGACAGUUCGGUCCCUAUCUGCCGUGGACGUUUGAGAUUUGAGAGGGGCUGCUCCUAGUACGAGAGGACCGGAGUGGACGAACCUCUGGUGUUCCGGUUGUCACGCCAGUGGCAUUGCCGGGUAGCUAUGUUCGGAAUAGAUAACCGCUGAAAGCAUCUAAGCGGGAAACUAGCCUCAAGAUGAGAUCUCACUGGAACCUUGAGUUCCCUGAAGGGCCGUCGAAGACUACGACGUUGAUAGGUUGGGUGUGUAAGCGCUGUGAGGCGUUGAGCUAACCAAUACUAAUUGCCCGUGAGGCUUGACCAU